This is a non-coding RNA of Cinara cedri, 504 nucleotides long. The record is from the annotation of a GenBank genome assembly. Lineage: Eukaryota; Metazoa; Arthropoda; Insecta; Hemiptera; Aphididae.
UUGGCACCUGGGUAUUACUUAGAUUAAUAUUAAUAAAUAGGUACGAAUAUAAACAAACAAAUGGAAUUUAUAAUUGUAUCUAUAAAUAUAAGAGAUUGCCCACAGCUCGAAUUGUAUUGUUUUUAUCGAUGACAAACAUCAGGACCACCCCACCAUUUAGCGAGAUUGCUAUAGUGCUUUGGUGGAUGAUCUUUAUCGUGAAGCAUUGCACAAAUCCGACAAUACAAUUUGGUAUUUAUCAUGACUGUACCGGUGUCUUUCCAUUUAAAAUAUUCGUUGUAUAACUCAUCAUUUUUGUCCAAUUUGUGUAAAUACAUAGCUAAAUCCUCUGCAGAUUUAAAAUCAUCAACGUGUAUGAAUGAAUGGUUAGGCGCAACUAAUUCAUAUUCCCUCCGAGAUGCUCCCAUGACAAUUGGCAACACAUCAUGACUGUAAAUAACUCAUAGUGUUAAAAAAACAUUUUUGUUAUAAACUUCCAGGUACAGGUACACAAUCAGAAUUUUU